UAGGGAAUAUUGCAAAAUGGGCGAAAGCCCGAUGCAGCAACGCCGCGUGGGCGAUGAAGGCCCUCGGGUCGUAAAGCCCUUUUUGAGGGGAUGAGGAAGGACAGUACCCUCAGAAUAAGCCUCGGCUAACUACGUGCCAGCAGCCGCGGUAAAACGUAGGAGGCGAGCGUUAUCCGGAUUUACUGGGCGUAAAGCGCGUACAGGCGGAUUGGAGAGUUGGAUGUGAAAGCUCCCGGCUUAACUGGGAGAGGUCGUUCAAUACUUCCAGUCUUGAGUGCAGUAGAGAGGAGUGGAAUUCCGGGUGUAGUGGUGAAAUGCGUAGAUAUCCGGAGGAACACCAGUGGCGAAAGCGGCUUCCUGGACUGUAACUGACGCUCAGACGCGAAAGCUAGGGUAGCAAACG
RNAcentral lists this ribosomal RNA (403 nucleotides) under uncultured bacterium. RNAcentral's name for it is "bacterial SSU rRNA". It matches the Rfam family "Bacterial small subunit ribosomal RNA", at positions 355 to 774 of the family's 1533-position model. The record is from RNAcentral.